RNAcentral lists this ribosomal RNA (686 nucleotides) under uncultured equine intestinal eubacterium sp. PL32. RNAcentral describes it as "bacterial SSU rRNA". It matches the Rfam family "Bacterial small subunit ribosomal RNA", at positions 797 to 1482 of the family's 1533-position model. The record is from RNAcentral.
ACGCUGUAAACGAUGAUUACUAGGUGUGGGGGGACUGACCCCUUCCGUGCCGCAGUUAACACAAUAAGUAAUCCACCUGGGGAGUACGGCCGCAAGGUUGAAACUCAAAGGAAUUGACGGGGGCCCGCACAAGCAGUGGAGUAUGUGGUUUAAUUCGAAGCAACGCGAAGAACCUUACCAGGUCUUGACAUCGAGUGCAUAACUAAGAGAUUAGUGAAAUUCCUUCGGGAACACUUAGACAGGUGGUGCAUGGUUGUCGUCAGCUCGUGUCGUGAGAUGUUGGGUUAAGUCCCGCAACGAGCGCAACCCUUGUCUUUAGUAGCCAGCAGUUCGGCUGGGCACUCUAGAGAGACUGCCAGGGAUAACCUGGAGGAAGGUGGGGAUGACGUCAAAUCAUCAUGCCCCUUAUGAUUUGGGCUACACACGUGCUACAAUGGCGUAAACAAAGGGAAGCAGAGUCGUGAGGCCGAGCAAAUCCCAAAAAUAACGUCUCAGUUCGGAUUGUAGUCUGCAACUCGACUACAUGAAGCUGGAAUCGCUAGUAAUCGCGAAUCAGAAUGUCGCGGUGAAUACGUUCCCGGGUCUUGUACACACCGCCCGUCACACCAUGGGAGUUGGGAAUGCCCGAAGCCAGUGACCUAACCGUAAGGAAGGGGCUGUCGAAGGCAGGCUCGAUAACUGGGGUG